This 429-nucleotide ribosomal RNA is filed under the name Chloroflexota bacterium. Its description in RNAcentral is "Chloroflexi bacterium partial 16S ribosomal RNA". It matches the Rfam family "Bacterial small subunit ribosomal RNA", at positions 355 to 776 of the family's 1533-position model. The record is from RNAcentral. Lineage: Bacteria; Bacillati; Chloroflexota.
UGGGGAAUAUUGCACAAUGGGCGCAAGCCUGAUGCAGCCAUGCCGCGUGUAUGAAGAAGGCCUUCGGGUUGUAAAGUACUUUCAGUCGGGAGGAAGGUGGUAAGGUUAAUAACCUUAUCAAUUGACGUUACCGACAGAAGAAGCACCGGCUAACUCCGUGCCAGCAGCCGCGGUAAUACGGGGGGUGCAAGCGUUAAUCGGAAUUACUGGGCGUAAAGCGCACGCAGGCGGUCUGUCAAGUCGGAUGUGAAAUCCCCGGGCUCAACCUGGGAACUGCAUUCGAAACUGGCAGGCUAGAGUCUUGUAGAGGGGGGUAGAAUUCCAGGUGUAGCGGUGAAAUGCGUAGAGAUCUGGAGGAAUACCGGUGGCGAAGGCGGCCCCCUGGACGAAGACUGACGCUCAGGUGCGAAAGCGUGGGGAGCAAACAGG